CGUGCCCGCCCCGGUCCCCCUGAGCCCUUGGCCCUCCCCGCCCCCACUACCCUUGUCCCCGGGUUGUCCCCGUCCCCUCCCCGCCACGGAUCCCCCCUCCAGCGUAUGCUGGGCCCAUUCCUCCCGCGGUUUGCUUCCCCCCGUUUCCUGCGUCUCUGCGGACCCCAUCUUGGGGUCCCCGGCUGGUCGGUGCCUUAUCACCCCACCCCUUUCUUCCCCCAUAGGAAGCCCUCCCCCCCAGCGCCUAUCUUUGUGGUGCCCUGCCUCACCCUCAUAGGAACCCCCCUAGCUCCCACAGAUUGACCCCUCCCCCACUCAGUGUUCCCUCGGGGGAGACAUCGCUCCUCUCGCGCCGCUGUAUUCCACUGUGUCCCCAGGCCUGGCCCGCCUUCUCGUUCGCUCUCGGGCCACCCAGCUCUCACCUGCCGCCCACCCCCUCCCCUCACCCAUCCUUCAGAAACCGGCACUGAGGGUCUGGCAGCAGCGGGUCCGGGAGUCUGGAGCCUUGCCCACGGCGGGUUGGUGUGGCACACAGAGUCGGAAAGAGCAGCCAGCCUGGGGUCCCGGUCUCGGAUACAGGGGAAGGCAGGCCAGCCAGUCUGUGCCCUGGGCGCUCCUCCUGCAGCGGGGGCUCCUGUCACCGGCAGAGCUACCCCCAUCCGGCUCAGGCAGAGCAGGGCGCAGGCCUUUGGUGCAGACCGAGCUCACCCUGAACAGGGCCGCUUGCAGACACAGAACUCCUAAACCCGCCUGGGCAGCCCCCUUAACCCCGGCACCCGGUUCCUUCUAAGUAGGUGUGAAGCCCAGGAAACCUUGACUGCCCGUCCUGCCCUAGGCAGCAGAGCUUCGAGGUUUAUCUCUGGGAUGGUCAGACUGUGUGCAGUCAGCUGGGUUGAUGCCCCUUAGGACCGGGUCGGGGUGGGGGACCCAGACCUUCUGCCCACCCCUGGUGACCUUCCUCUCUUUCCAGGAGAACAAGGGGUCUGUGGAAAUCAUGAGGAAGGACUUGAAUGAUGCCCGGGAUCUGCACGGCCAGGCGGAGUCGGCCGCCGCGGUGUGGAAGGGACACGUGAUGGACCGUAGGAAGAAGGCACUGACCGACUACAAGAAGCUACGGGCCUUCUUUGUGGAGGAGGAGGAGUACUUCCUUCAGGAGGCCGAGAAGGAGGAGGGGCUCCCCGAGGAUGAGCUGGCCGACCCCACCGAGCGCUUCAGGUCGCUGCUGCAGGCGGUGUCGGAGCUGGAGAAGAAGCACCGCAACCUGGGCCUCAGCAUGCUGCUGCAGGUGCGGGAGGCCAGGGCGGGCGCGGGCAGCAGCGGGGCCACCCCCGGGAGGCCAGGGCGGGCGCGGGCAGCAGGGAGCCGCUGGGAGCCGCUGCCCGAGGUCAAGGCUUCAAAACCCAGCCUGCCUCCCACUGCCCUAGCCUUGCAGGGCUGAAUUCUGGGGAUGGGUAGGUGGUCAAGGAAAGUGAUGAGAAGGGGUUUUAAGCUGAGGAGGGUCGAAGGUGUCCCUGACCCUGAGUGCCAGAGCACAGAAGGCUCCUGCCUCGCCCUGGGGUCCUGAAGGCAGAAGUGUCCAAGAAGCCUGGCUUCAGGGCUUUUCUUCAGCCUCUGCCCAGGGCCCGGCCCGAACCCCAGACCCCGCAGAAACCCAGACAGCUCUGAAUGGUUCAGUUGUCCGUGCUGGCCAUAGGUGACAAGGCUUUUGGCCCUGGGGAGACGAAGUGCGGGUCAGGCCCUGGGUUUGUUGUGCGCAGAACAGUAUGCCGAGCUCCCUCCUGUGAACGCUCUUUCUCUCCCCGCCUCGCCCCUCCCCCUCUCUCCCGCUCUCCCCCCUCCCCACUUGGCCUCUGUGUGUCUUUGUCUUUUUGUCUGUCUUGCCCUCUCCCCUCCCAUGCAGUGAUGGCACCAGCCCACUGCCAUCCCGGAGCUGGAGGCAGGCGGAUGGAUCCUCGUCUCUGUGGGAAGUGUCAGCGCGUGGCUGCGGGAGAAGUGUGGUGGGCACCCAGCCUUGGGUCCACCUGUGUAGUUGCGUGUUUCAACAAUGUCCAUUUAUCCUUCACCCCAAGGCGUGAGUGUUUUGGGGGCUGCAAACGCCUCCUGGUAGAGGCUGGACUUGGGGACCCUUCCCACCUGUGCCCGACCCCUCCUGAAGUCCUGGCCGCAGCCCAUCCUCCAUGAGUCCCGGCAGCCCCAGGCCAUGCCCUUCCUCAAUCACCCAUCGACCCCUCACCUUGUCAUCCAGGGACCCAGACCCUGCACCUUCCACGUGGGGCCCCAGAUUCUUGGCAGGUACGUGAGGCACACCCUUGAAGGUCAGAAACGAGAAUGCACACGAGGCCGUGAGAAGGCUGGAACACAGAUUGCAGGGAAGAGAAAGAAGGCUGGAUGGCACGUUGAUGCCUCCUGAGGAGGGGGCCCCCCUCUUAGGGUGGGUGUGGGCCCUGCCCAGCCUCAUCCCCGCCUCCCUCCCGAGUCCCCUCCCCGCUCUGGCUCCUGGGAGCCCUCCCUGUGCUCCACCUGCCUCUGCAGAAGGGACCCUCUUCUCCCCGGGUGAGGGGCUGGCAGGUGGCCGACCCAUUUAGCGUCUCCGGGCGCUGCGCUGGUGUCUCAUCUUGCUGUUCUCUCUGGCUCUCUCUCAUUUCCUUUAGUCGUUGAAUUUUGCAAAGCUCGUAGCAGUAGCUCAAUUGCCUGCAGCAUCCUUGUGUGUAGAUAAAUUAGUCUAAUUGACAGAAACUCAGCACUGGGGACAGGAUUGCAAAGCCGGGGACAUAGAUGCAGACAGCUGUUGAGAUGUGGGGCCAGCUGGGCCUGUGAGUGGGGGCCUGUUUCCAGAAGCCUUUCAUCCUUCCCAUCCCCGGCCUUGGUGCGACGUCUGUGAGUUUGACCUGCCCAGCGCCUGGGCUGGCUCCGUGCUGAAUAAAGUGGGUUUGCUUCAGCCCGUUUGCGUCGUCUCCGUGUGUCCACGUGGCCUCUUCCCCCUGUCCCGGCCACCCUCCGCUGUUAAAGGAAUAUUCCUCCUGACACUUGUUAAAGUGUGGUGAGGAGGAUUUCACGGGGCCCAUCGAGAUGGCUGUGGAGCCCUUGCCUUGGGGCCUUGGGAGAGAUGGGGCUCCACCCCCACACAGCAGGACAGGGUGGGUGGAGAUGCCAAGGGGCAGGGUGGGGUCGGUGGGUGGGAAUGACUAAGAGGAGAUACGAGGGGUAAGUGCUCUGGCUAAACCCACCUCACCAGAUCCUUGCUGCAGGCGGGCAGGGUGAUCAGCUGUCGGCUGCAAACGAUCUGAUAGGAACCCGGUCAGGUACCAUUGAGGGUGGUUAGUUAAACCAAAUCAGGGUUCUUGCUAAAACUGGCUUUUGUAAGAAAGUGCACAGAGAGGGCCCUGGGAGAAGGUUCCAGAGCCUGGCUAGAGUUUGGCCAACCAGAGAAUCUCUGUCAGCACACCAACAACCUCCCGACCCUGAGACCUCAAGUUUGUUCUCAGCAUCUCUGCCCACUGCAGUCCGCUGUUGUCCCCAGUGCCCGUUCUACCCUGCCCUGUACACCUGCGAUGCUUACCCAGCCAGGCCCUCAUGACAGAGUCCCCCACAACACCAAACUCCACAUCACCAGGUCCUGAUGACAGAGUCCCCCACACCAAACUCCACGUCACCAGGUCCUGAUGACAAGAGUCCCCACAACACCAAACUCUGUAUCACCAGGACCUGACAACAGAGUCCCCCACACCAAACUCCACAUCACCAGGACCUGAUGACAGAGCCCCCCACACCAAACGCCACAUCACCAGGACCUGAUUACAGUCCCCCACACCACCAAACUCCACAUCACUAGGUCCUGAUGACAGAGUCCCCCACACCAAACUCCGCAUCACCAGGUCCUGAUGACAGAGUCCCCCACAACACCAAACUCUCCAUAUCACCAGGUGUGAGUGGCUUUACCGUCCUCACCUAGCCAACCAACAACAUCCCACCCUGUCAAUCACAACCUCUUUCUGUUUAAAACAAUGAUAUAUUUAUGGGGCACAAUGUGAUGCUUUGAUACCUGUGUACGCUGUGGAGUGGCAGAGUCAAGCAGAUGAAUGUAUCCACCUCACGUCUUUUGUGGUAAGAACAUUUGACAUCUGUGCUUGGCAGUUUCAGAUACAGUCACCCCUCAGUCUGAGGGGAAUUGGUCCCAGGACCCCGUUGUCGAUACCAAAAUGCACGGACGCUCAAGUGCCUCUGCAGGAUGUGGGACACAUACAGAGGCUGCGUGCACACAGCACACGGUUGUCCUCUGAAGUCGCCGUGCUGCGCAAAGGCCCUGAGUUCUUGUGAACAGGAACUCUGUACCCUCUGACCAGAAUUGCUCCAGAUCCCCUGUCCCAGCCCUUGCUAACUGCUGCUCUCUGUGUCUUUCGGAAAAUCAACAUUUUGAUUCCGCAUGUGAGAUCAUAAGAUAUUUGUCCUGUUCCCCGCUCAUUUCACUUAAUAUACUCCAGAUUCACCCAAGUAGCAAACGGCAGUUUUCCUUUUUAUAGCCGAAUAGUAUUCCACUGUGUGUAUCCACCUUAUCCCUUUAUCCACUGGCUUCUAGACCACCAAGGUUGAUUCCAUAUCUUGGCUGCUGUGAAAGUGCUGUAAGAAACAGAAGUGUGGGUAUCUCUUCCACUUAUUCAUGUCAUUUCCUUUGGGAAAAUGCUUAGUACCGAGUACCAGCUCAGCCGGGGAGACCCCACCCAGGCAGCGCUGAAGACAGUGAGAGGCAGACACACAGAACAGCGAAGUGGAUCUAUCUGGGGGGAGCAGCCUACCCCGCUGAGAGCCUCAGGGCUGACGCAUUCCAGGCUGAAGGCUCCGAGCAGAUUCUCAUCCACAUGGUCUCUCUCAACAGGUGAUUAUUAUUAACAAACAGGUGUUCUGUAUUUUCUCCUAACUCAUAAAUAUACAGUAGGCAGCUGUUACCGGCUUACCACUGACUACAGACAAACUCAAAGGCAUUCUCCAAGAGGGAGCCCCGGGGCAGGACCAGAUAUCUCAAAGCAUUGUUUUAACCGGUCAAUGAUAUUUCUACGUCGUCCUGCCACUUUGGAACGCCCCAAAUGCCUUUCCACUUGGGGAGGGGUCGGCUAGCUUUUCCUUGCCAUCGUUCUUCCUAGCAAGCAGUAUGUUCUAUCAUACACUCAGCGUUCAUCAAUAUUCAUAAACUCAGUAUUUCUCAAUAGCUUAGUGGUAGAAUUGCUGGGUCACAAUUCUAAUUUUUUCAGUAACCUCCAUAUGCUUCUCCAUGAUGGCUGUAUAAUUUACAUUCUCGCCAACACUGUAGCCUUUGAAAUGAGCCAUUCUGCUCCCAAGCUGCCCCUGCCUCCUUUCCUCUCCUCUCCUU
Molecule: long non-coding RNA, 5365 nt
Organism: Saimiri boliviensis boliviensis (Bolivian squirrel monkey)
Lineage: Eukaryota; Metazoa; Chordata; Mammalia; Primates; Cebidae
Source: Ensembl